This 73-nucleotide transfer RNA is filed under the name Camelus bactrianus (Bactrian camel). It matches the Rfam family "tRNA". From Rfam's summary of the family: Transfer RNA (tRNA) molecules are approximately 80 nucleotides in length. Their secondary structure includes four short double-helical elements and three loops (D, anti-codon, and T loops). RNAcentral also lists the same sequence under 2 other names. Lineage: Eukaryota; Metazoa; Chordata; Mammalia; Artiodactyla; Camelidae. The record is from Rfam by way of RNAcentral.
AGUAGUAUAGCAGAGUGGACAGGGCUUUGAUCUUGGGAAUCAGUCAGUCUGGGUUUGAGUUCCGGUUCUGCUA